GGAGCAGAACAACGAGACAAACUA
Molecule: non-coding RNA, 24 nt
Filed under: Arabidopsis thaliana (thale cress)
Lineage: Eukaryota; Viridiplantae; Streptophyta; Magnoliopsida; Brassicales; Brassicaceae
Source: RNAcentral